Molecule: small nucleolar RNA, 133 nt
Organism: Osmerus eperlanus (European smelt)
Lineage: Eukaryota; Metazoa; Chordata; Actinopteri; Osmeriformes; Osmeridae
Product: small nucleolar RNA SNORA17
Exons: 1
Source: RefSeq, a predicted model, not a curated record
ACUGCCACUAGAGGCGUUGCAGCGCGGUUGUUUGUAUCGUGUCUGUGUCAUUAGAUGGCGGAGAUGGAUGUGUCAUUUGUCUCCCAGUGCCCUUGCAUUCAUUCGGGCAUUCUGAGACUUGUGUCGCUACAUU